AUGAGUUUUGUGCGGCGAAUCCAGGAGUCUGAGGUCAAGGAGGCUUUAAAAAGGAUGAAAGGAGGCAAGGCGAUGGGCCCUAAUUGUAUCCCCAUUGAGGUGUGGAAAGGUCUCGGGGACAUAGCGAUAGUAUGGCUAACCAAGCUUUUCAACCUCAUUUUUCGGGCAAACAAGAUGCCAGAAGAAUGGAGACGGAGUAUGUUAGUACCAAUCUUCAAGAACAAGGGGGAUGUUCAGAGUUGUACUAAUUACCGUGGAAUUAAGCUGAUGAGCCAUACAAUGAAGCUAUGGGAGAGAGUCAUUGAGCACCGCUUAAGAAGAAUGAAAAGCGUGACCAAAAAUCAGUUUGGUUUCAUGCCUGGGAGGUCGACUAUGGAAGCCAUUUUCUUGGUACGACAACUUAUGGAGAGAUAUAGGGAGCAAAAGAAGGACUUGCAUAUGGUGUUCAUUGACUUGAAGAAGGCCUAUGAUAAGAUACCGCGGAAUGUCAUGUGGUGGGCCUUGGAGAAACACAAAGUCCCAGCAAAGUACAUUACCCUCAUCAAGGACAUGUACAAUAAUGUUGUGACAAGUGUUCGAACAAGUGAUGUCGACACUGAUGACUUCUCGAUUAAGAUAGGACUGCAUCAGGGGUCAGCUAUGAACCCUUAUCGUUUUGCAUUGGUGAUGGAUGAGGUCACAAGGGAUAUACAAGGAGAUAUCCCAUGGUGUAUGCUCUUUGCAGAUGAUGUUGUGCUAGUUGACGAUAGUCGGACGGGGGUAAAUAGGAAGUUAGAGUUAUGGAGACAAACCUUGGAAUCGAAAGGGUUUAGGCUUAGUAGAACUAAAACCGAGUACAUGAUGUGCGGUUUCAGUACUAGGUGUGAGGAGGAGGAGGUUAGCCUUGAUGGCCAGGUGGUACCUUAG
RNAcentral lists this ribosomal RNA (906 nucleotides) under Triticum aestivum (bread wheat). RNAcentral describes it as "partial small subunit ribosomal RNA". The record is from RNAcentral. Lineage: Eukaryota; Viridiplantae; Streptophyta; Magnoliopsida; Poales; Poaceae.